UACGGGGGGGGUAAGCGUUGUUCGGAAUUACUGGGCGUAAAGGGCUCGUAGGCGGCCAACUAAGUCGGACGUGAAAUCCCUCAGCUUAACUGGGGAACUGCGUCCGAUACUGGAUGGCUUGGAUUUGGGAGAGGGAUGCGGAAUUCCAGGUGUAGCGGUGAAAUGCGUAGAUAUCAGGAGGAACACCUGCGGUGUAGACGGCUUACUGGACCAUAACUGACGCUGAGGCACGAAAGCGUGGGUAGCAAACAGG
Molecule: ribosomal RNA, 253 nt
Filed under: uncultured bacterium
Lineage: Bacteria
Description: partial 16S ribosomal RNA
Rfam family: Bacterial small subunit ribosomal RNA
Source: RNAcentral